This 127-nucleotide small RNA is filed under the name Marmota monax (woodchuck). The record is from RNAcentral. Lineage: Eukaryota; Metazoa; Chordata; Mammalia; Rodentia; Sciuridae.
GUUGGGCGUGGUGGUGCAUGCCUGUAAUCCCAGCAGCUCAGGAGGCUGAGGCAGGAGGAUCUGGAGUUCAAAGCCAGCCUCAGCAACUUAGCAAGGCCCUAAGCAACUCAGUGAGACCCUGUCUCUA